GAGUUCCCACUGUGGCACAGUGGGUUAAAAAUCCAACUGCAGCAGCUUGGAUUGCUGAGGAGGUACAGGCUUGGCAUAGCUUGCAGCAGUGGCUCAGAGUCAGUCCGUGGCCUGGGCACCUUCCGUAUGCUGCAGGUGUGGCCAUAAAAAGAAAAAGGAAAUAAUAAAAAAGAAUUACUGAGUGACUUUAAAACCAACACAAGAGUUCCUGUUGAGGUUCAACGGGUUAAGAACCCAGUGCUGUCUCUGAGGAUGUGGCUUCGAUCCCUGGCCUCACACAGUGGGUUAAGGAUCCAGUGUUGUCACAAGCUACAAUUUAGGUUGCAUAUGCAACUCGGAUCCAGCAUUGCCAUGGCUCUGGUGUAGGCUGGCAGCUGCAGCUCCAAUUUGACCUCCAGCCUGGGAACUAACAUAUGCUGCAGGAGCGGCCCAAGAAAUAGCAACAACAAAAACAACAAAAAAGACAAAAAAAAAAAAAACGUGUUGUGCUACCUGCCUGUACUGUACAUGUUAAGAACAAUGAAAAGAUGCACAGUUGAAUGCUUCAUUUAAAAAAAAGCUCAAAUGUUCUCUGAAAGAAAAAGAUGAAGUGAAGUUUAUAUUUGUGACCUAUGAUUUUUUUUUUUUUUUUCCUCUUGCUCUGUGUAUCAGUGCCUCUCCCUGGAAAAGAGCCUUAGGCUAUUUUUAAAGACCUUGUUGAGUGGAGAUGUAAAGAAGAAGCAUAGAGAUAUUGUACAACUUUAUUUUUAGCACUACAGACUAUGUAUCUACCUCUCAAACUUAGGAAAAUAGCUCCCAACAUUCAGUGGACCCGUUACUCUGUACCAAGAUCUGAUGUCGUGUUUGUUCUUGUGUCACAUAUGUUGGCUCUUGUUUUUCUCUCUUGAUGCUUUUUGAGUCCAUGCAUUGAGAUUUUAGAAAGAAUGUUAACGUUUAAGGGUUGGUGGUUAAUGUAUUUGUGUGUGUUGGGUGUCUGUAAUAUGGAAAUUGAAAAUAGGGUCAUUAUUAAUCAAUUAGUCAAUAGAAGUAGGCAGAUGCUUUCUCAGUUCUAUGCCAUGCACGUAUUAUUUCUUAUAAAACUGUGCACUAACCCAAGGUUGCUUUUUAAAAGUACUGUUAUUUUUUAAGGACUGUUAUUGUUUGGUAUCAACCUUCUUGUAAACGAGCCACACUGAUAGAUAAGAUAUUAAUAUUUGCAAAGGUGGAAGUAGAACACGCAUUGAAGAGGCUAGGGUGAAAUGUAUUUACAGAGGAAUGUAUUUACUUUCAGACUGUUUAAAGAUUCAUAUUCUUAAACUCCGCUCUGUUUGGGAUGCCCUUCACCUUUAGCCCUUUGAAUAAAUUGAUAUUCAUCCCUCAGGUCCACUCCUCCUCCUUAGAGCUUUCUGGGCCUGACCCUUUUGGGCUGAAUCAGUAUUUGUUCCUCUAAUAGCUCCCUGUAGUGAUUUACUGAAGUGUGAGAAUUCUCAGCUAAAUGUGAGCUCUUUCAUGUAAGGACCAUCUCUAGGAGCCCCAGUGGAGUCUGAAGAUUAUACACUAAAUGGUUGAUUUUUGGUUUAAGGAAUAAAGUUUAUGAUUUGCCUUUGCAGUGGAAAAUAUAUUAGAGUAAUUUUGCAUUAUAUAGCUGUGAGCAACAUACACCAUAACUCUCGGUUUUAGAAAAACUGAGGUCCAAAGCAGCUGUAUUGCUUGCUAAAGUUAUACAGAAUGUUCCUUAAACUGAGUUGGCACUGUGUUCAUUUCUCUUUCCCCUCCUAUGUACUUUUCAAGACCAGCAUUUGCCAAACUAUGCUGCACAGACACUAGGGCCUUAGGCUAUGGAACUGGAGUCAUGUCCAGUAAAGGAGAAUGUGUAAUAUUGGGAGAAAAAAACCUUCAGUUAAAGAAAAUUUAAUGGUUUAAAAAACAAAAACAAACAAACAAAAAACUCCAGGACUCUUCUGAACUAUAAUGGGCUCAAGUGCAUAUUGCCAAAGAGAUGGCUAUAGCAUGCAGUGUUUUGCAAAGUCAUAUAUUAACACAACCCCUCUUUAAAAUUUCUCUUCUCUUAAAAAACUAUUUUUUUUGAAAGAUACGAUUUAGAGGAGCUGUACUGAGUGAAUUCUGUCUGAUGUUCAUAAGUUCUUUAUGUCAAAGUCAUCUUGACUUUGUAUGUGAACAAAAGAAAUGGAAAAAUAUUGGUUGUGGGUUUUUUUCCUGGAUUUGGCUCCGACUUACUCCGUGAGUUUUGACAGAUUCCAAAAUGGCAGGAAAUUGUUUCCGUAGUAUCUGUUGGGAGAACAUUUAAAUUUAUCAAAUUCAAAUCCUAGGCUUAAUAUGAUUUCCAGUUUAAUUACAAGGGGGUCGUUAGAGGUAGUUAUAUUGUGAUUUGAGAAGGCACCCUCAGAAAGCUAAUAGAGAUUGGAGGUUUGGGGAGAGGACCCACAGCACUAGUCAUAGAGAGAAAGAACCCGUGAGUGUCCAGGAUCAUCAGUGCGAGGCAGUAUAAAUGCUGUCGCUACGUGGGUUCAUAAUGGUAGAAGGGACAGUUGAGUUUUUAUAGCUUCCCCAAGGGAAGAAGUAGCUUCAUUUGGUUAAAUGUGGCCUGGAAUAAAACAUCCACACAAAAGAAAUUGUGGAUUUCAGUAGGAGAAAUUGACUCAUGCUGAAUGGUCUCUCUGGACUGGAAAGGGAAGGGAGAGCUCUAGCUGGGAGUUAGUGUGGGAGGAGUGUGCCUCAGGCCCCCAGACUCUGCUGUCUUCUAGCUUUAUGACCUCAGGCAACUCCAUCUCUCUGUUUACUUAAGAGAAAAGUGGGAGGUCUUACCUAAUAUGACUGAUUCUAUGAUACCGAGCUGGGAGGGUCAAAGAAAGGAAGGCAGACUUGUCUGCACAGUUGAUUUUUGAAGGAGCAUGUUAGAGACAUGAUCACAGACUGAUUUUUUUUAACUUUUUAAAAAAUUAUUAUUAACGUAUAGUUGAUUUGCAAUGUUCCAUCAUGUUCUGUUGUACAACAAAGUGACCCAGUCACACACGUUUCCCUGUGCUAUACAGUAAGGUCCCAUUGCCCAUCCAUUGCGGAUAUAACUGUUUGCAUCCCCCAAACCCCCAAAAUGCCCAUCCCUCCCACUCCCUCCUGACCUGGGAACCC
This 3129-nucleotide long non-coding RNA is filed under the name Sus scrofa (pig). Its description in RNAcentral is "lncRNA (ENSSSCG00005010349.1)". The record is from RNAcentral. Lineage: Eukaryota; Metazoa; Chordata; Mammalia; Artiodactyla; Suidae.